Molecule: ribosomal RNA, 379 nt
Filed under: uncultured eukaryote
Lineage: Eukaryota
Description: partial 18S ribosomal RNA
Rfam family: Eukaryotic small subunit ribosomal RNA
Source: RNAcentral
CAAUAGCGUAUAUUAAAGUUGUUGCGGUUAAAAAGCUCGUAGUUGGAUUUCUGCUUUGUGCGACCGGUCCGCCUCUGGGUUGGUACCUGGUUCGCUCAGGGCAUUUUCCUGGGAGACAUGGCUGCAUCUCGUUAUGUGGCCUGUUGCCUGGGUCUUUUACUUUGAGGAAAUUAGAGUGUUUCACGCAGGCGCUUGCCUUGAAUACAUUAGCAUGGAAUAAUACGAUAGGACUUUGGUUCUGUCUUGUUGGUUUCUGGAGCCAAGGUAAUGAUUAAUAGGGAUAGUCGGGGGCAUUCGUACUUAACUGUCAGAGGUGAAAUUCUUGGAUUUGUUAAAGACGAACUAACGCGAAAGCAUUUGCCAAGGAUGUUUUCAUUGA